RNAcentral lists this ribosomal RNA (496 nucleotides) under uncultured bacterium. RNAcentral describes it as "partial 16S ribosomal RNA". It matches the Rfam family "Bacterial small subunit ribosomal RNA", at positions 28 to 506 of the family's 1533-position model. The record is from RNAcentral.
GAUGAACGCUGGCGGCGUGCCUAAUACAUGCAAGUCGAGCGAACAGACGAGGAGCUUGCUCCUCUGACGUUAGCGGCGGACGGGUGAGUAACACGUGGAUAACCUACCUAUAAGACUGGGAUAACUUCGGGAAACCGGAGCUAAUACCGGAUAAUAUAUUGAACCGCAUGGUUCAAUAGUGAAAGACGGUUUUGCUGUCACUUAUAGAUGGAUCCGCGCCGCAUUAGCUAGUUGGUAAGGUAACGGCUUACCAAGGCAACGAUGCGUAGCCGACCUGAGAGGGUGAUCGGCCACACUGAAACUGAGACACGGUCCAGACUCCUACGGGAGGCAGCAGUAGGGAAUCUUCCGCAAUGGGCGAAAGCUUGACGGAGCAACGCCGCGUGAGUGAUGAAGGUCUUCGGAUCGUAAAACUCUUUUAUUAGGGAAGAACAAAUGUGUAAGUAACUAUGCACGUCUUGACGGUACCUAAUCAGAAAGCCACGGCUAACUACGU